RNAcentral lists this ribosomal RNA (466 nucleotides) under uncultured bacterium. RNAcentral's name for it is "partial 16S ribosomal RNA". It matches the Rfam family "Bacterial small subunit ribosomal RNA", at positions 28 to 507 of the family's 1533-position model. The record is from RNAcentral.
GAUGAACGCUGGCGGCGUGCUUAACACAUGCAAGUCGAACGGUGAAAGAGAGCUUGCUCUCUGGAUCAGUGGCGAACGGGUGAGUAACACGUGAGCAAUCUGCCCCUGACUCUGGGAUAAGCGCUGGAAACGGCGUCUAAUACCGGAUACGAGCUGCGAAGGCAUCUUCAGCAGCUGGAAAGAACUUCGGUCAGGGAUGAGCUCGCGGCCUAUCAGCUAGUUGGUGAGGUAACGGCUCACCAAGGCGUCGACGGGUAGCCGGCCUGAGAGGGUGACCGGCCACACUGGGACUGAGACACGGCCCAGACUCCUACGGGAGGCAGCAGUGGGGAAUAUUGCACAAUGGGCGAAAGCCUGAUGCAGCAACGCCGCGUGAGGGACGACGGUCUUCGGGUUGUAAACCUCUUUUAGCAGGGAAGAAGCGAAAGUGACGGUACCUGCAGAAAAAGCACCGGCUAACUACGUG